AGUGAACGUUGGCGGCGUGGAUUAGGCAUGCAAGUCGAGCGAGAACCGUAGCAAUACGGGGACAGCGGCGAAAGGGACAGUAAUGUGUAGGUACCUACCUCCGGGUUCGGGAUAGCUGCGGGAAACUGCAGGUAAUACCGAAUAACGUCUCCGGACCAAAGGUGUGAUUCCACCUGGAGAGGGGCCUGCAUCCUAUUAGCUUGUUGGCGGGGUAACGGCCCACCAAGGCGACGUUGGGUAGCGGGUGUGAGAGCACGACCCGCGUCAUUGGGACUGAGACACUGCCCAGACACCUACGGGUGGCUGCAGUCGUGAAUCUUCGGCAAUGGGCGCAAGCCUGACCGAGCGACGCCGCGUGCGGGAUGAAGGCCUUCGGGUUGUAAACCGCUGUCGUAGAGGAGGAAAUGCAGGGGGGUUCUCCCCUCUGUUUGACCUAUUCUAGGAGGAAGUAUGGGCUAAGUUCGUGCCAGCCGCCGCCUAA
RNAcentral lists this ribosomal RNA (481 nucleotides) under uncultured bacterium. RNAcentral's name for it is "partial 16S ribosomal RNA". It matches the Rfam family "Bacterial small subunit ribosomal RNA", at positions 28 to 522 of the family's 1533-position model. The record is from RNAcentral.